Molecule: transfer RNA, 77 nt
Filed under: Candidatus Peribacteria bacterium RIFCSPHIGHO2_01_FULL_51_35
Lineage: Bacteria; Candidatus Peregrinibacteriota; Candidatus Peribacteria
Also listed under: 1 other name
Description: tRNA-Arg
Rfam family: tRNA
About the family: Transfer RNA (tRNA) molecules are approximately 80 nucleotides in length. Their secondary structure includes four short double-helical elements and three loops (D, anti-codon, and T loops). Further hydrogen bonds mediate the characteristic L-shaped molecular structure. tRNAs have two regions of fundamental functional importance: the anti-codon, which is responsible for specific mRNA codon recognition, and the 3' end, to which the tRNAs corresponding amino acid is attached (by aminoacyl-tRNA synthetases). tRNAs cope with the degeneracy of the genetic code in two manners: having more than one tRNA (with a specific anti-codon) for a particular amino acid; and 'wobble' base-pairing, i.e. permitting non-standard base-pairing at the 3rd anti-codon position.
Source: RNAcentral
GCCCUCGUAGCUCAGCUGGAUAGAGCGUCUGGCUUCGAACCAGAAGGUCGUGGGUUCAAAUCCUGCCGGGGGCACCA